GAUGAACGCUAGCGGCAGGCUUAAUACAUGCAAGUCGAGGGGUAACAGAGAAAGCUUGCUUUUUGCUGACGACCGGCGCACGGGUGCGUAACGCGUAUGCAACCUACCUAUAACUAAGGGAUAGCCCAGAGAAAUUUGGAUUAAUACCUUAUAGUACUAGAGAUUCGCAUGAUGAACUAGUUAAAGAUUUAUCGGUUAUAGAUGGGCAUGCGUUAGAUUAGCUAGUUGGUAAGGUAAUGGCUUACCAAGGCAACGAUCUAUAGGGGGUCUGAGAGGAUGAUCCCCCACACUGGCACUGAGAUACGGGCCAGACUCCUACGGGAGGCAGCAGUAGGGAAUAUUGGUCAAUGGAGGCAACUCUGAACCAGCCAUGCCGCGUGAAGGAAGAAGGCUUUCUGAGUCGUAAACUUCUUUUAUAUGGGAAGAAACCACAUUACGUGUAAUGUAUUGACGGUACCAUACGAAUAAGGACCGGCUAACUCCG
This 484-nucleotide ribosomal RNA is filed under the name uncultured Flammeovirgaceae bacterium. RNAcentral's name for it is "bacterial SSU rRNA". It matches the Rfam family "Bacterial small subunit ribosomal RNA", at positions 28 to 505 of the family's 1533-position model. Lineage: Bacteria; Pseudomonadati; Bacteroidota; Cytophagia; Cytophagales; Flammeovirgaceae. The record is from RNAcentral.